GACGAACGCUGGCGGCGUGCUUAACACAUGCCAGUCGAACGGAAAGGCCCUGCUUGCAGGGUGCUCGAGUGGCGAACGGGUGAGUAACACGUGGGUGAUCUGCCCCUUACUUUGGGAUAAGCCUGGGAAACUGGGUCUAAUACUGGAUAGGACCAUGCUGUAGGUGGUGUGGUGGAAAGAUUAGUUUCGGUAAGGGAUGAGCUCGCGGCCUAUCAGCUUGUUGGUGGGGUAAUGGCCUACCAAGGCGUCGACGGGUAGCCGGCCUGAGAGGGUGGACGGCCACAUUGGGACUGAGAUACGGCCCAGACUCCUACGGGAGGCAGCAGUGGGGAAUAUUGCACAAUGGGCGCAAGCCUGAUGCAGCGACGCCGCGUGGGGGAUGACGGCCUUCGGGUUGUAAACUCCUUUCAGCCAUGACGAAGCCCUUGUGGUGACGGUAGUGGUAGAAGAAGCACCGGCUAACUACGU
RNAcentral lists this ribosomal RNA (468 nucleotides) under uncultured bacterium. Its description in RNAcentral is "partial 16S ribosomal RNA". It matches the Rfam family "Bacterial small subunit ribosomal RNA", at positions 28 to 506 of the family's 1533-position model. The record is from RNAcentral.